CCCGGGCCCUGCUCCCGCUGGAGCCACCCUGGGUUCCGCCCCCGCUGCGGAGCUGCAGCCUCCAGGGGCCAGUGACCUUCAAGGAGGUGGCUGUGUAGAAGAGUGGGCUCUGCUGGACCCUGCUUAGGAGCCCUCUACAGCCAAGUCAUGCAGAAGAACUAUGAGAGCGUGACCUCGCUGGAGUCAGAUGAGGAUUUCUGAGUCUCUCCAAGCAAGGUUGAGCAAUUCUCCUAGUGUGGCCUCAUGCAGCAGGUGACGCAAUGGUAUGUGAGAAAGAGGAGCAGAAUUCUCAGCCGGAAAAUGUUGAGCAAGUGGAUAAACACAGGGAAUUAUCACAAAGAUUGGAAAGGAAUGUAUCCAGGAGUCAUGAGCAGGGACAAUUGUGUGAGAUUCAGCACAGAUCAGAAAGAGAGCAAGGAAACCAGCCAGGGGAGAA
Mauremys reevesii (Reeves's turtle) is the source of this 436-nucleotide long non-coding RNA. RefSeq lists it as uncharacterized. The transcript has 4 exons. NCBI's taxonomy places the organism in Eukaryota, Metazoa, Chordata, Testudines, Geoemydidae. The record is from RefSeq and is a predicted model, not a curated record.